RNAcentral lists this unclassified non-coding RNA (212 nucleotides) under Hevea brasiliensis (rubber tree). Lineage: Eukaryota; Viridiplantae; Streptophyta; Magnoliopsida; Malpighiales; Euphorbiaceae. The record is from RNAcentral.
UCCCACCACACAACCACAUCAAUCCCCAUCACUUUCUUUCCAUGUGGCCUCCUCUUAUCAAGAUCACAAAUUGGCAUUAUUGGGUACCACUCAGCAUACCACUCAAAUUUCUCUUCUUGAUUUUCAUUUUCAGUCUUUUCAUCAAAUGGGGUUUCUGAUUCUGUUGAAACACUUGGGGAAGUAGCAGUAAAAACCUUGAAUUUUGCAUUUUG